Molecule: non-coding RNA, 370 nt
Organism: Podarcis muralis (Common wall lizard)
Lineage: Eukaryota; Metazoa; Chordata; Lepidosauria; Squamata; Lacertidae
Source: RefSeq, a predicted model, not a curated record
GAGGUUCCCCACCAGUGAUUCAGCCAAAGUCUUGAAGUUCUUUCAUAGUUAGUUGCUUUUGCCCAUUGAGAAUUGCAUGGUGGGAAAUGGAGGACAAACGACAGCUUCUUGCAGCGUAUUCCCACGUGCCACAGAUGUGGGUGGCGCUGGGGGGAAAUGGAUGUAACUGCUUUAAAUGCUACGAGAUAGACACAGAUGAAGCACAUGUGCAAUAGCAUUUUAAAAGAUGCAUUCCCUGAUGCAUGAGGAAAAAGAGGGGAUACGGAGUGUGCAAGGCUGCUGGUGGAAUUGGCCCUUCCCGGUUUCCAUCCCGCCUGCCCUCAACAGGGGCUUGUGUCAUUUGCACUGGGUGAAAAAAUGAAUCUCGGAC